Molecule: ribosomal RNA, 400 nt
Filed under: phytoplankton environmental sample
Lineage: Eukaryota
Description: partial small subunit ribosomal RNA
Rfam family: Eukaryotic small subunit ribosomal RNA
Source: RNAcentral
AGCUCCAAUAGCGUAUAUUAAAGUUGUUGCAGUUAAAAAGCUCGUAGUUGGAUUUCUGUCAAAAACAAGUGGCCCGCUUUCUAAAAGUGUUGUGCUUUACGUCGUUUUUGGCAUACUCCUAUUUUUUUAGUUCGAUUAGUUUCGAAUUAGAGGGGUGGGACUUUUACUUUAAGAAAAUUAGAGUGUUCUAAGCAGGCUUUCGCCUUGAAUACUGCAGCAUGGAAUAAUAAUAUAGGAUUUCAGUUCUAUUUUAUUGGUUCUAAGGAUUGGAAUAAUGAUUAAUAGGGACAGUUGGGGGCAUUCGUAUUUAACUGUCAGAGGUGAAAUUCUUAGAUUUGUUAAAGACGAACUACUGCGAAAGCAUUUGCCAAGGAUGUUUUCAUUAAUCAAGAACGAAAGU